CCUACGGGGUGCAGCAGUGAGGAAUAUUGGUCAAUGGGCGCGAGCCUGAACCAGCCAAGUCGCGUGAGGGAAGACGGUCCUAUGGAUUGUAAACCUCUUUUGUCGGGGAGCAAAAGACGCCACGCGUGGCGUUCCGCGAGUACCCGAAGAAAAAGCAUCGGCAAGUUCCGUGCCAGCAGCCGCGGUAAUACGGAGGAUGCGAGCGUUAUCCGGAUUUAUUGGGUUGACAGGGUUCGCAGGCGGAAGAUCACGUCAGUGGUAAAAUUGAGAGGCUCAACCUCUACGAGCCGUUGAAACUGGUUUUCUUGAGUGAGUGAGAAGUAUGAGGAAUGCGUGGUGUAGCGGUGAAAUGCAUAGAUAUCACGCAGAACUCCGAUUGCGAAGGCAGCAUACCGGCGUUCAACUGACGCUCAUGCACGAAAGUGUGGGUAUCGAACAGGAUUAGAUACCCGUGUAGUC
RNAcentral lists this ribosomal RNA (459 nucleotides) under uncultured bacterium. RNAcentral's name for it is "partial 16S ribosomal RNA". It matches the Rfam family "Bacterial small subunit ribosomal RNA", at positions 338 to 795 of the family's 1533-position model. The record is from RNAcentral.